AUGAAGCUCGCUGGUCCACAAAAACCCAAUGUCCAGGAGAGCCAGGAGGGGACUAAGCACAAGCAGAGUAAGAAAUUUAGGAGAGUUCGGCGAGAUGACAAAGGCAUGGGGUCGGUUGGAGUGGGAGAAACUGUUUUGGGUGAGAAGAGAGGAAGGGUGGAUGACAUGGAUGGGAAGGAUAGCAAGAAAGGGAAAUUAGCGGAGGGGGAAGGGGUGAUGCAGGAGACUGCUGAGACACUGGUGUUGGACAACCCUAAUUGCACAUCGGCCGGGCUACUGGAGCAGUCCUGCCGAGCACAAUGA
Molecule: ribosomal RNA, 303 nt
Filed under: Triticum aestivum (bread wheat)
Lineage: Eukaryota; Viridiplantae; Streptophyta; Magnoliopsida; Poales; Poaceae
Description: partial small subunit ribosomal RNA
Source: RNAcentral